RNAcentral lists this ribosomal RNA (428 nucleotides) under uncultured bacterium. RNAcentral's name for it is "bacterial SSU rRNA". It matches the Rfam family "Bacterial small subunit ribosomal RNA", at positions 29 to 426 of the family's 1533-position model. The record is from RNAcentral.
AACGAACGCUGGCGGCGUGCUUAACACAUGCAAGUCGAACGAGAAAUCGGGCACUCAGGCAACUGAGUGCCGGAGAGUAAAGUGGCGCACGGGUGAGUAACACGUGGGUAACCUACCCCCGAAUCCGGGAUAACCUCGCGAAAGCGUUGCUAAUACCGGAUAUUGUCCUUUUGGUUGUGACCUUUGGGAUGAAAGGCAACCUCUUCAUGAAAGUUGUCGUUCAGGGAUGGGCCCGCGUACCAUUAGCUUGUUGGUGGGGUAACGGCUCACCAAGGCUACGAUGGUUAGCUGGUCUGAGAGGAUGAUCAGCCACACUGGAACUGAAACACGGUCCAGACUCCUACGGGAGGCAGCAGUGAGGAAUUUUGCGCAAUGGGGGAAACCCUGACGCAGCAACGCCGCGUGAGUGAAGAAGGCUUUCGGGUCGU